AGGACUGUAGUUAAGUAUAACAUUUGAUUUGCACUCAAAAAGUAUUGGUAACAAUCUGUCUUA
RNAcentral lists this transfer RNA (63 nucleotides) under Tarragoilus diuturnus. RNAcentral's name for it is "tRNA-Ala". It matches the Rfam family "tRNA". Rfam says of the family: Transfer RNA (tRNA) molecules are approximately 80 nucleotides in length. Their secondary structure includes four short double-helical elements and three loops (D, anti-codon, and T loops). The record is from RNAcentral. Lineage: Eukaryota; Metazoa; Arthropoda; Insecta; Orthoptera; Prophalangopsidae.